This 805-nucleotide ribosomal RNA is filed under the name uncultured cyanobacterium. RNAcentral describes it as "bacterial SSU rRNA". It matches the Rfam family "Bacterial small subunit ribosomal RNA", at positions 84 to 921 of the family's 1533-position model. The record is from RNAcentral. Lineage: Bacteria; Bacillati; Cyanobacteriota.
CUUCGGAGUUAGUGGCGGACGGGUGAGUAACGCGUGAGAAUCUGCCUCUAGGACGGGGACAACAGAGGGAAACUUCUGCUAAUCCCGGAUGAGCCGGAAGGUCAAAGAUUUAUCGCCUAGAGAUGAGCUCGCGUCUGAUUAGCUAGUUGGUGAGGUAAAAGCUUACCAAGGCAACGAUCAGUAGCUGGUCUGAGAGGAUGAUCAGCCACACUGGGACUGAGACACGGCCCAGACUCCUACGGGAGGCAGCAGUGGGGAAUUUUCCGCAAUGGGCGCAAGCCUGACGGAGCAAGACCGCGUGGGGGAGGAAAGCCUUUGGGUUGUAAACCCCUUUUCUCAGGGAAGAAGCAAGUGACGGUACCUGAGGAAUCAGCCUCGGCUAACUCCGUGCCAGCAGCCGCGGUAAUACGGAGGAGGCAAGCGUCAUCCGGAAUGAUUGGGCGUAAAGCGUUCGUAGGUGGCAACUCAAGUCUGCUGUCAAAGACCGGAGCUCAACUCCGGAAAGGCAGUGGAACCUGGGUAGCUGGAGUGCGGUAGGGGCAGAGGGAAUUCCCGGUGUAGCGGUGAAAUGCGUAGAGAUCGGGAAGAACACCGGUGGCGAAAGCGCUCUGCUGGGCCGCAACUGACACUGAGGGACGAAAGCUAGGGGAGCGAAUGGGAUUAGAUACCCCAGUAGUCCUAGCUGUAAACGAUGGAAACUAGGUGUUGCCUGUAUCGACACAGGCAGUGCCGUAGCUAACGCGUUAAGUUUCCCGCCUGGGGAGUACGCACGCAAGUGUGAAACUCAAAGGAAUUGACGGGGGCC